CCGUCUUCUCUUUGGCCAGAAUUUUCUCUAGCUCCUCUCUUGAUAUUAUUUUGCCAUGCUGAUAACAAAAUGUUCCGACAAAACCCGGAACAUAAAUCAGUAAAUGAUAGGCUAAUAAAACAUAAUCACUAAAACAGGUAUAUCACUUUUGUAUUUCUGAUUGUAAGUAUUACUGGAAUACGUCCUGAGUAUUCCUGUGUUUAUAAUACAAGUUACCUUUUCAAAAAAAAAAAAAAAACAGGUAUAUCAACUCUAUACACAGCCGAUAACAACUAUACUUGUAGCCUUUUGUUUUUGAGUUAACAUGACAGCUAAAGAAGUAUGCUACAACAUAUUUACCAUACAAACAGUUAUCUCCAACCACCAAACCUAAUCUAGAAUUCUUUUGAUUAGAUUCAUCACAUUCACAAAGCCCAGUAAAGUCAAAUCUUCAUCAAGUGGACCUAUCAGCAAGAUUUGGCUUGACUUAACUGGC
Molecule: long non-coding RNA, 475 nt
Filed under: Solanum tuberosum (potato)
Lineage: Eukaryota; Viridiplantae; Streptophyta; Magnoliopsida; Solanales; Solanaceae
Description: long non-coding RNA (STUB_LNC002951)
Source: RNAcentral